This 542-nucleotide long non-coding RNA is filed under the name Mytilus galloprovincialis (Mediterranean mussel). The record is from RNAcentral. Lineage: Eukaryota; Metazoa; Mollusca; Bivalvia; Mytilida; Mytilidae.
GUUGUUUCCUGGCAUUAAAAUCUAAGUCCAUUUAUAAGUAAAAUAGGGAAAAAAUGGUAUUUUGUUUUUAUAAAAUUUACAUCUGGAUACUAUCUUAUGAUCAUAAACAAGCUUCUGUCCAAGUUUGGUUGAAAUCCAGUAUAGUUUAUAAAAACUAUUAAAGUUUUAAAAACUUUAAAACACAGAAAUUAAACUGAGAAUGACCAUGGGUGCAAAAAACCAAUAUAAGUUUUGUGUUUCUGUAGGGAGUUUAUUUUUCACCCUUUAACUAUGUAUCAAGAGACCGUAUGGGCUUUGCUCAUUGUUGAAGGCCGUACGGUUACCUAUAUAGUUGUUAAUGUGUGUGUCAUUUUGGUCUUUUGUGGAUAGUUGUCUCAUUGGCAAUCAUACCACAUCUUCUUUUUUAUAUAUUACAUACGAUGUAGCACCAUUUCAUCUUUUUCACAAAAAUGUGCAAUAAUCUACUGGUCAGUACCACUUUUUGCUUGUUUACUAAUUCAUUGAGGUUACAUUUUUCUAUGAAAAGAGAUUGUAAAAUAAUA